AACGUAGGAGACAAACGUUAUCCGGAGUUACUGGGCGUAAAGGGCGUGUAGGUGGUAAUGUAAGUCUGGCGUGAAAUUUUUCGGCUUAACCGGGAAAGGUCGUCGGAUGCUGCAUGACUAGAGGACGGUAGAGGCGUGUGGAAUUCCGGGUGUAGUGGUGAAAUGCGUAGAGAUCCGGAGGAACACCAGUGGCGAAGGCGACACGCUGGGCCGUACCUGACACUGAACCGCGACAGCAUGGGGAGCAAACAGG
This 253-nucleotide ribosomal RNA is filed under the name uncultured bacterium. RNAcentral describes it as "partial 16S ribosomal RNA". It matches the Rfam family "Bacterial small subunit ribosomal RNA", at positions 524 to 776 of the family's 1533-position model. The record is from RNAcentral.